UUAUUACCAUUAUUGUGCCUUGUUUGGUUAUUACCCUCAUAUCCCAUGUUUUUGUUACAAAAUAUGUACCAAACGAAAUCUUUGCUGAUGUUGCAUCCUGAAAUAAUGCCAUUUAUUAAGGCUCAAAUCUAUGUUAAAUAAAUUGUAGCCUAAAAUAACACCUGUCUUUAUGGCUCCUAAUUAAUCUUUGAUUUUGUACCAAAUAAAUACUAAUUCAGUUAAGGUAAAAUCUUAAAUGCUCCUAGAGAUUAAAUGCUUCUCUU
RNAcentral lists this long non-coding RNA (263 nucleotides) under Nicotiana benthamiana. RNAcentral describes it as "long non-coding RNA (NBEN_LNC008260)". Lineage: Eukaryota; Viridiplantae; Streptophyta; Magnoliopsida; Solanales; Solanaceae. The record is from RNAcentral.